AACGAAGGGCGCAAGCGUCGCACGGAAUCACUGGGCGUAAAGCGCACGUAGGCGGAUUGUUAAGUCAGGGGUGAAAUGCCGAGGCUCAACCUCGGAACUGCCUUUGAUACUGGCGAUCUAGAGUCCGGGAGAGGUGAGUGGAACUGCGAGUGUAGAGGUGAAAUUCGUAGAUAUUCGCAAGAACACCAGUGGCGAAGGCGGCUCACUGGACCGGAACUGACGCUGAGGUGCGAAAGCGUGGGGAGCAAACAGG
RNAcentral lists this ribosomal RNA (253 nucleotides) under uncultured bacterium. Its description in RNAcentral is "partial 16S ribosomal RNA". It matches the Rfam family "Bacterial small subunit ribosomal RNA", at positions 524 to 776 of the family's 1533-position model. The record is from RNAcentral.